Molecule: unclassified non-coding RNA, 356 nt
Filed under: soil metagenome
Description: partial contains 5.8S ribosomal RNA, internal transcribed spacer 2, and large subunit ribosomal RNA
Rfam family: 5.8S ribosomal RNA (bases 1-119)
Source: RNAcentral
GAUGAAGAACGCAGCGAAAUGCGAUAAGUAAUGCGAAUUGCAGAAUCCGUGAGUCAUCGAAUCUUUGAACGCACAUUGCGCCCGCUGGUAUUCCGGCGGGCAUGCCUGUUCGAGCGUCAUUUCAACCCUCAAGCUCUCCGGAGUUUGGUGUUGGGGCGCCUGGGGCUUUUCGACCUCAGGGCCCUCAAGUCCAUCGGCGGGACCGCCAGGACACUGAGCGCAGUAGUAUUAUUUCGCUCGGUAGGAUCUUCCACGGCGGGUCGAUCUGGCCGCUAAACCCCCCAAUUCUCACCAAAGGUUGACCUCGGAUCAGGUAGGAAUACCCGCUGAACUUAAGCAUAUCAAUAAGCGGAGGA